RNAcentral lists this ribosomal RNA (303 nucleotides) under uncultured bacterium. RNAcentral describes it as "partial 16S ribosomal RNA". It matches the Rfam family "Bacterial small subunit ribosomal RNA", at positions 507 to 809 of the family's 1533-position model. The record is from RNAcentral.
AGCAGUCGCCACGGGAAUACGUAGGGUGCAAGCGUUAAUCGGAAUUACUGGGCGUAAAGCGUGCGCAGGCGGUUAUAUAAGACAGAUGUGAAAUCCCCGGGCUCAACCUGGGAACUGCAUUUGUGACUGUAUAGCUAGAGUACGGCAGAGGGGGAUGGAAUUCCGCGUGUAGCAGUGAAAUGCGUAGAUAUGCGGAGGAACACCGAUGGCGAAGGCAAUCCCCUGGGCCUGUACUGACGCUCAUGCACGAAAGCGUGGGGAGCAAACAGGAUUAGAUACCCGAGUAGUCCCUGUCUCUUAUAA